CUCCAUAUCUAUCUAAUCUAACGGUUGAGAUUAACUUUUCCUAUCUUUCUCUUUAACACCAGAAGACCCAAAACCUUAAAUUUUAACUCAUUAUCUUCCCCUUUCUCUAUAGCAGCCGCCACCUCUACUCUCUCCUCUCCAUUCGCGCUGGCGAGAGCAGCCACCGGCGACGCCCGUCUACUCUUCUACGCUCCUCUCCCGUUGCUCUUUCUCUCUCCUCCCUCCUUCUCCUCUCUCACCCCUCUCUCCACUCGCGUCUCCUCAUCCCUAGCGAGAGCAGCAGCAGCUCCAGCGAGCUGCACCAGGCGGCGCCGCUUUUUUCUCCUCUCCUUUUUUCCCUCCUCUCCUUUCUCUCCUCCCCUCUCCUCCUUUGCUCCAUCCUCCCUUCUCUCUUUCUUUGCCGAUACAGCAGCGCCAAAUGAGCAGCAAGGACCAGCACCUCUAGUGCUCCGACAAACAGCAGCAGCAGACGAGAAUAAGCAGUGAACAACAAAUGAUGGACUGAGGCGAGUCCCUCUCUUCUACGCUUCAUUUUUUCGGCAGAGCUAUGAGGUUUUUCUAAUUUUUGGGAUGGCGGAUCUUAAUGGAUCCGUCCAGUUACUUUCUCUUAACUAAACCCGUUUUUUUAAAAAUGAAUUUUCCUAACUUGAUUACGAAAAACUUCAUCUUGUAUGCUUACCUUAGGUAAAUGACAAUCACUUGCCAUUUAUUAUAUCUUGAUUUUUGUGAUGAUGAUCAUGCUCUUACUUGUGAUGAUCGGAUUUUUUUGAAUGUGCAUUAUUCUAACCUUGUCGAAUUUUUUGUUCAAAGUUCGUGUUAGAAUGUCAAUAUUUCCUUUAGCAAUAUGUUCACAUUAUUACUUCCUUAACUUUUGAAUAUUGGUCUUGAUGAUUCCUUCUUGUUAAGUGUCUGAGAAAAUUGCUAUUACUAGACUGCUUUCUUUUACAGUUUAGAGUCGUCUCCUUCUCUGGUAAAAACAAAUAAAUAAAAUAGAAUAAUGUUGUGCUAUUUUAGUAUAUGAAAUCAUAUUAUGGUAGGUGAUUCGGAUCCAAAUUGUACUUUUCCUUUAAAUAACCACUCUUUCACUUGGUAUUAUAUAUUGUUUAAAUUAUGAGUUGUCUUGCCUUAGUUAAAAGGUAGACAGAUCUUUUAUGGUAAACAUAUUCCAUAAAAAGGAGUUAAUUUUAUAUUAAUUGAUUCAUUUACUUAAAUGUAUUUUAUGGAUAUGUUAUUGAAAGAAUUAUUUGUAUAAGGAAAUAUUUUGUGCAGAUUUCACUAAUUUGAUUAAGGGAGCAUAUUUUCCAUAUUUUGCUACUGAUUGGUUUUUCCUUUUUGUUGGCCCUCUCCUCCAUUACAUAAAUAGACCCUUGCUAAACUCGUUCGCUCACUUUUAAUACAAGUUCUCUCAUUACUCUCGACUCUAUCUUCCAUCUUGCUCAUACUUUAAAAUACUUUAAAUAUUCCUCUCCUAUUCUUUAAAAAGUAAGAACUCUUGAAUCAUCCUUUCGACCAUUUCUUGUUGUGUUGUUGUUGUGGAUCAGAACCUUGUUUAAUACUUCAUUGCUGAUAAAAUUUUUUGCGUAAUUGGUUAGCCUUCUUUACUAUUCUAAAAUCUCGUUUUUGCAAAACUAUCAUUGUUGUUGUUGGAAACAAAGGAAGCAUCCAAGAUAUUUUUCUUAUCCUUUCUCCCUAUGUGUGGUAACAUGUCUUCAUCUAUGCUUUGUACCUUUUACUUAUUAUCUAUGUUGUUUAUAUAUAUACAUAUGAAAGUAAUUUGUUACUAUUAGUAUAUUACAACUAUUUACUCAUCGUAUAUGCUUUAUUACAUCUUCUACUAGGUUUUGAACUUAUAGUUCAAUAUGAUGAAGAUUUGCCUUGAAGAAAUUGUGGACGAAGCCUCGUUCAUUUUAUUGUUAUAUAUAUAUAUCUUUAUUUGUUCUUUAUUUUUACUUGUAAUGCUUGUAUAACUCGUUAACUCAAUAUAUGUGAAAUAAGUUUGGGGGAUCGUCUAAGGGAAGGGGUAUUAUGUGUUACUUAUAAUUUUGUCGCAAAAUCUUAUUUGAUUAAUAAAGCUAGAUUUAAAAUUAAAUAUAAUAAAAAAAUUUUAUUGAUUGAUCACUUAUUUAAUCUUGUGUAUUUUAGUACUUGAAACUAAUUUGGUAUUACUAUUAAUCAAUUUUCGUUCCGCAUAUCCUUUAGG
This 2200-nucleotide long non-coding RNA is filed under the name Solanum lycopersicum (tomato). RNAcentral's name for it is "long non-coding RNA (SLYC_LNC001016)". The record is from RNAcentral. Lineage: Eukaryota; Viridiplantae; Streptophyta; Magnoliopsida; Solanales; Solanaceae.